This 1514-nucleotide long non-coding RNA is filed under the name Anas platyrhynchos platyrhynchos (common mallard). RNAcentral describes it as "lncRNA (ENSAPLG00000030085.1)". Lineage: Eukaryota; Metazoa; Chordata; Aves; Anseriformes; Anatidae. The record is from RNAcentral.
GUACUUCUUGUGCAUGGAACACGCUUAAAAGGAGGACCGAAAAGCCCCUUCAAAGCCUCAGCUUCAAGAUCUGUUUCCAUAAGAUUAAGUGCAUUCUGGACCAGAGAUCAGGUAGGUUAAAAGGUACCCAGAACAGAUCACGUUAGAAUCUUGGAGCAUAAUACAGUCCAUGGAUGUACCAAAUUUGUCUUUCUUUUCACUGUUUGGCUGGGUCUUUUUUUAAUAGUAUUUCAUUUUAUAAAAGCAGAUCACAACCUUUCAGCCUGCUGUUCUGCUUUUAUUUUAUUUGUGCUUUGUAACAGUACAGAGAACAGUUACAGAUGCCUUUUUUUUUUUUUUUUCAUAUUCUCUGACAUCUCCUUUUCCCAAGAGCUUCAAAUAUCAGGAUCUUUUGAGGGCACAAAAAAACCCCAAAAGUUCAGAAAUUCAAAUGCAAAUAGUUUGUUCUACAGAUCAACUCAAUAACCAAAAUGCAAAAUAUCUGAUCUGAUAAUAAGCUUUCUUAUUCACCUCACCAGUAUUUCUGAAGAUUCAUGUUAAAUACAAGGACUAGAAAACAGUUGAGCCAGAUGCGAUACCUUACGCCACGACACAUGUAGGUUAUGCUGGACCAAAAGGUAUUUACCCAGAGCUCAGCUCAAGGCACUCCGAUCACUGCAAAAAGCUGCGGGCCACUCAGAGCUCCCUUUGGAGUUAAUGGGAGAUGGACCUACUCAGUAAGCCAGCGAUUUGUGUCUCAAAUUCUGCACCCUAACUUAAAAGCUGACUCACUUAUGGAGGCACCUCCUUGGACCCUGCUUGAAUCCUCCCAGCUUUUGAUGAGCUGCUAGCCCUUGCUGCUCCUUACCAAGUAAUGCUAGGUUCAAGAGAUCCACCCUAUCUGAUGCCAUGCACAAUUAUUCAGCUGGCUGCCUCCACCCACUUUCAAAGAGAAUUGGCUGGGCUGCUUUCUCUGGAUCACUGAACGGUUGAGAAAUGAGUUAACACCAAAGACCCUGAGAGAGGUAAGACAUCGAAGGCUUGUAAUGCUCAGGUCUUGAUGGUACUGAAUUAGAAAUAACAAUUAUUCAUGCUCUUAAUCUUAUGACAAGCCAAGAUUGUUCCUUUGGAGGGGGAAUUUGUGAUUUUGACCACGUGAUGGGGAAGACAGAAACAGCCUUCUGACUUUAGACACAAGUAGGUAUUUCACCAAAUGUAGUAGAUGUUGAAUUAUGAGGAUUCUGGAGGACAGAAAGUUAACAUUAGCCUGUUUGGAGCACAUGGAGACAAAGCACAUGCAACUUCCAUUUUAGCAGCAUGCUUGCAAUGGUACUGCUGAAUGCUGAACUGGACUGACUCUCCGCUGUGCUGUAAAUAUGUAGCACAUACAAUGGAUUUUACAUCUUCAAGGUGCUUUUGGGAUGUAAAUUAACCAGUGGCAUUUUGAUAAUAAGAAAGAAAAAGAGACAGAGAUUAAAAAGAUCAGAAUUAUAUCAGCAGCAGUGAAUAAAUGUUCUACCUGUUUUUCUGAUACA